Molecule: ribosomal RNA, 336 nt
Filed under: Rhinella macrorhina (Santa Rita beaked toad)
Lineage: Eukaryota; Metazoa; Chordata; Amphibia; Anura; Bufonidae
Description: partial 16S ribosomal RNA
Source: RNAcentral
AAUACUGAGUAAUUCUAUAYUAUUAUAGAAWAUUUUAUGUURAAACUAGUAACAAGAAAAGACUUUCUCUUUAAUGYAASURUAAAUCAGAAAGGACAAGCCACUGAUAUUUAACAUCACUAAACCRAAAGUAAAAACUCACCAAGAAAACCCUACUCUCAUUUAUGUUAACCUAACACAAGAGCAUUACAAGAAAGAUUAAAAGAAAAAGAAGGAACUCGGCAAAUAUUAACCUCGCCUGUUUACCAAAAACAUCGCCUCUUGAAYCCUAUAAGAGGUCCAGCCUGCCCAGUGACUUUGUUYAACGGCCGCGGUAUCCUAACCGUGCAAAGGGGG